GGUAGACGCUACGGACUAAAAUCCGUUGGCUUUUUAGACCAUGAGGGUUCAAGUCCCUCUACCCCCA
RNAcentral lists this transfer RNA (67 nucleotides) under Heteroscyphus inflatus. Its description in RNAcentral is "partial tRNA-Leu". RNAcentral also lists the same sequence under 2 other names. Lineage: Eukaryota; Viridiplantae; Streptophyta; Jungermanniopsida; Jungermanniales; Lophocoleaceae. The record is from RNAcentral.